AGUCACUGACAUUAGACUACCCGGUAGUCCAGGGUGUAAACGCUGCAGACUUGGUGUUGGGGCCCUUUGGGGGCAUUCAGUGCCGGAGAGAAGUUGUUAAGUCUGCUACUUGGGAGUACGUCCGCAAGGAUGAAACUUAAAGGAAUUGGCGGGAGAGCACCGCAACGGGAGGAGCGUGCGGUUUAAUUGGAUUCAACACCGUAAACUCACCAGGGAAGACUGUUACAUGAAGGCCGAGAUGAAGACUCUGCUAGAUUUUCAG
RNAcentral lists this ribosomal RNA (262 nucleotides) under uncultured archaeon. RNAcentral's name for it is "partial 16S ribosomal RNA". It matches the Rfam family "Archaeal small subunit ribosomal RNA", at positions 718 to 982 of the family's 1478-position model. The record is from RNAcentral.